Molecule: ribosomal RNA, 318 nt
Filed under: Triticum aestivum (bread wheat)
Lineage: Eukaryota; Viridiplantae; Streptophyta; Magnoliopsida; Poales; Poaceae
Description: partial small subunit ribosomal RNA
Source: RNAcentral
AUGGUGACCAGCACCCUGGACGCCAGGGCCAGGACGUCGGCGCAGGAAACCACGCCGGGGCACUCCAGCUCCAGGGCCAACUUGGAGCGCACCACGGCGUCGAAGGCGUCGCCGGGGAGGGAGUGGUUGAUCUCGGCGUCCUUCUCGGAUUUGGCGAAGCGGGUGGGCGCGAUCAGCACGGAGGCGUCGCAGCCGGUCACGAAGCAGUCGUGGAAGAAGACGCGAAGCAUGCCCGCGGCGGUGGUCGGGUUCGCCAUCUGCUUCGACUGGACCACCUCCGCGAUGAUCCGCUCCGCCCGUGGGCACGUCUGGCUGUAG